RNAcentral lists this ribosomal RNA (253 nucleotides) under uncultured bacterium. RNAcentral's name for it is "partial 16S ribosomal RNA". It matches the Rfam family "Bacterial small subunit ribosomal RNA", at positions 524 to 776 of the family's 1533-position model. The record is from RNAcentral.
UACGUAGGGUGCGAGCGUUAAUCGGAAUUACUGGGCGUAAAGCGUGCGCAGGCGGCUUUGCAAGACAGAUGUGAAAUCCCCGGGCUCAACCUGGGAACUGCAUUUGUGUCUGCAAGGCUAGAGUACGGCAGAGGGGGAUGGAAUUCCGCGUGUAGCAGUGAAAUGCGUAGAUAUGCGGAGGAACACCAAUGGCGAAGGCAAUCCCCUGGGCCUGUACUGACGCUCAUGCACGAAAGCGUGGGGAGCAAACAGG